AAAUAUGUUUUCUAAGUGUCUAGUGAUGAGUUUCAUAGGGCAGAUUCUGAGGUGAAAUUUAAUUCAUCAUUGAUCGUCCUAUUAUGAAAUCUGAAGACACUUGAAAACCU
Molecule: small nucleolar RNA, 110 nt
Organism: Mesocricetus auratus (golden hamster)
Lineage: Eukaryota; Metazoa; Chordata; Mammalia; Rodentia; Cricetidae
Gene: Snord90
Product: small nucleolar RNA, C/D box 90
Source: Ensembl